GAUGAACGCUGGCGGCGUGCCUAAUACAUGCAAGUCGAACGCUUCUUUCCUGCUGACUGCUUGCACUCGAGUGGAACGGGGGGGUGCGGCCUGGGGAGCAACCCGUUGGUAACGUACCCAUCCGGGGGAGAUGACACUAGGACACAGGUGCUAAUACCGCCUAACAGUUUGUGCCGCAUGGCAUAAGCGUGAAUGGCGCUUUCGGCUGUCGCUGAUGGUUGGACCGGCGGUGCAUUAGCUAGUUGGUGAGGUAACGGCUCACCAAGGCCACGAUGCAUAGCCGACCUGAGAGGGUGAUCGGCCACACUGGGACUGAGACACGGCCCAGACUCCUACGGGAGGCAGCAGUAGGGAAUCUUCGGCAAUGGACGAAAGUCUGACCGAGCAACGCCGCGUGAGUGAAGAAGGUGUUCGGAUCGUAAAGCUCUGUUGUUAGAGAGGAACAAGGAUGUGAGUAACUGAACGUCACCUGACGGUACCUACAGAGAAAGCACCGGCUAACUACGUG
Molecule: ribosomal RNA, 508 nt
Filed under: uncultured bacterium
Lineage: Bacteria
Description: partial 16S ribosomal RNA
Rfam family: Bacterial small subunit ribosomal RNA
Source: RNAcentral